This is a non-coding RNA of Pelobates cultripes (western spadefoot toad), 644 nucleotides long. The record is from the annotation of a GenBank genome assembly. NCBI's taxonomy places the organism in Eukaryota, Metazoa, Chordata, Amphibia, Anura, Pelobatidae.
AUACAAUUUAAUGCUAGCCCGCUAAAUGUUACAAUGCUAGAAGAAGAAAACCCCAAAACACAACUUGGUAUUGAGCGUACUAUUCGAACGGGCUAUAAUCACUCAAGCCGCUAGCAUUUCAGGAGCGUGCGAGCGAACAUAUCAUACGAAAUACAAGGGGUUUGUUACAUAUAGUAUUCCAUGAACAGUAUGUUUUUAAGAAAUUAAAACUGAUCUUUUCUUAUUCAGGAAAAUAUAUAUAUUGUUUAAGGAGGGCUUUUAUAACACUAAUAAUAUACUAAUGUUUGAGACCGGUCUGUGCCAUUUAUAACACAGUCGACUUUUCUAUUCAUUGUUUAGAAGGACACAUGAUUAAUUUAUGGCAUCACAGAUGCUUUAACAACACUCCCAUCCAGGACAUUUUAAGGUUAAGGGACACUCUAAACACCAAAAUAAUGUCAGCUUAUGUUUAGCAGCUUUGGUAUAUAGAUCAUACUUAUGCAGUCUUGUUCUUUCCAUGUCAUUUAGGAGUUUAAUAAUUUUAGAUAUACAGCCCUCGCCACACCUCCCCUGGCUGUGACUUGAGUAACAAAAGCUUUUUUUGUUUGUUUGUUUUUUUACAACUCAGUGUAUUAAAUCAACUUUAGAAGUUAUCUCAUGUUCUG